AUUGAACGCUGGCGGCAUGCCUUACACAUGCAAGUCGAACGGCAGCACGGGUGCUUGCCCCUGGUGGCGAGUGGCGAACGGGUGAGUAAUACAUCGGAACAUGUCCUGUAGUGGGGGAUAGCCCGGCGAAAGCCGGAUUAAUACCGCAUACGAACUACGGAUGAAAGCGGGGGACCUUCGGGCCUCGCGCUAUAGGGUUGGCCGAUGGCUGAUUAGCUAGUUGGUGGGGUAAAGGCCUACCAAGGCGACGAUCAGUAGCUGGUCUGAGAGGACGACCAGCCACACUGGGACUGAGACACGGCCCAGACUCCUACGGGAGGCAGCAGUGGGGAAUUUUGGACAAUGGGCGAAAGCCUGAUCCAGCAAUGCCGCGUGUGUGAAGAAGGCCUUCGGGUUGUAAAGCACUUUUGUCCGGAAAGAAAUCCUUGGCCCUAAUACGGUCGGGGGAUGACGGUACCGGAAGAAUAAGCACCGGCUAACUACGUG
RNAcentral lists this ribosomal RNA (486 nucleotides) under uncultured bacterium. Its description in RNAcentral is "partial 16S ribosomal RNA". It matches the Rfam family "Bacterial small subunit ribosomal RNA", at positions 30 to 507 of the family's 1533-position model. The record is from RNAcentral.